GGGAAUCUACCCAUCCCUACGGGAUAGCUCCGGGAAGCUGGAAUUAAUACCGUAUACGUCCUUCGGGAGAAAGAUUUAUCGGGGAUGGAUGAGCCCGCGUUGGAUUAGCUAGUUGGUGGGGUAAAGGCCUACCAAGGCGACGAUCCAUAGCUGGUCUAAGAGGAUGAUCAGCCACAUUGGGACUGAGACACGGCCCAAACUCCUACGGGAGGCAGCAGUGGGGAAUAUUGGACAAUGGGCGCAAGCCUGAUCCAGCCAUGCCGCGUGAGUGAUGAAGGCCCUAGGGUUGUAAAGCUCUUUCAGUGGGGACGAUAAUGACGGUACCCACAGAAGAAGCCCCGGCUAACUUCGUGCCAGCAGCCGCGGUAAUACGAAGGGGGCUAGCGUUGUUCGGAAUUACUGGGCGUAAAGCGCACGUAGGCGGAAAUUUAAGUCAGGGGUGAAAUCCCGGGGCUCAACCCCGGAACUGCCUUUGAUACUGGGUUUCUUGAGUUCGGAAGAGGUAAGUGGAAUUGCGAGU
Molecule: ribosomal RNA, 520 nt
Filed under: uncultured bacterium
Lineage: Bacteria
Description: bacterial SSU rRNA
Rfam family: Bacterial small subunit ribosomal RNA
Source: RNAcentral